Molecule: long non-coding RNA, 6017 nt
Filed under: Selaginella moellendorffii
Lineage: Eukaryota; Viridiplantae; Streptophyta; Lycopodiopsida; Selaginellales; Selaginellaceae
Description: long non-coding RNA (SMOE_LNC000709)
Source: RNAcentral
GCACUGAUCGAGCAUUCUUUAACGAGGCGUCUGAGCACAACCUGGAGUUGCGCGAGGUGGAAGUGUCGAGAACCAGCCCAGGUGAUGGCAUUUACAGCGGUGUGAUUUACGAAAUCAUUCUCAAGCGAGAUUGUCACAAUUGUCGUACCUUUACUGCUCCACAUAUUUGAGAACUCGAAGAGCUUCUCAAUGGUUUCAAACUCCUCUGGAAACGUUAGCAGUCAACCAGAGAAGAUGGUAUGCCAUAAAGGCUUGGAAACUACACAGCAAACAGUGUUUGCGAAGACUAUGUUGGUAUCUAUAUGGUAUUAGUAAACAUAAUUGAUCUUUUCAUUACACAUAGUUGAUGAUCUGAGUUUUGAAUCUCCUUUGCCUGCAUUUCAAACUAGUCUUUUGAGCCUUGAAUCUCCUUUGCCUAGAUUUCAAACUAGUGAAGGAUCUAUUGCUGAGCAGCAACCUUGUAAAAUAAGCUGCCACGAAACAUUUUGUUGUUUUUACCCCUCAAAACUCCAGGAUGCACUGUCCUGUUACAUUGUGCUUUGCUUGCAUUGUCUCAUACUCAAGGGAAUCGUGCUUUCAUGUGCUAUAUUUGUUACGAUACUGCGACAGCUUCCCAAAUCCCUGCUUGUAAUUGCGUUGGUGUACAUCGCCGUGACUUAGCUGUAGAGCAGCCGAAAUUACAAUGAAGAAUGAUACAGCAAUACAAGUUGGGGGCUCAGAUGGGAACACGGAAGAACAUCAAAAUCUUAAGAGGAGAGCACAGAGAUUGGUGAGUCUGUCAGAGCAAGUGAAAUUUGUGGCUCUAGUAUUGUCAGCCCUGGAGAAGGGUGCAACAUACAUAGGGCAAAUAGCAUUCGUGGGCGCCACUGUGGUCCUGCUGGGGGGUUACGUCUCUCAGCUCAAGCCUUACGAUUUCAAGCUCAUUUCUGGUCUGCUGCUUUCAGAGGGUGUGCGAGUGUUCUUAGUCAGCAAGAAUGUUGAUUACUUAGUAGCCGCUGGGUACCACAAAAGUAUCUUUGGAGGGAUAGUUUUCUGGGCUUUGGGAUGUUAUGGCAUUUGCUGUUCGAGGCAGUGGUCAAAUCAUAUAAAGGAGCUGUCAAUACAUCUGAUAUUCCAUGGGCUCCAAGUGGGUAGUGCAGCUGUAACAUUUGGUUUCUCCCUUGCUCGGAUCAAGUCAGGAGACUACAAACACAUCUCGUCGUCGGAUGUAGAGGAGGUGGCCAACUUUGUGUUUGGGAUCAAGCUGUUCUACAUUCUGACUUUGGUGGAGUCAUCAGUUUUCUUGGCGGUCAAACUACUGGGUUGGGACUCCUUCGGGUUGUGGCUGAGAAGUAUUGCGGGUAAGGCUGAAGCGCAUAUACUUGCACACCAUGUAUGCCCACGUGUGCAUGAGGCGUUUAUGAGAGAGGGAUUCAGUAAAGCAUUAGGUGUAAAUCUUUUCACUUACGUCAUCAAUUGGUUUUUGGAUGAAGAACACCAAAAAUGGGAUGAAGAACACCAAGAACGCAGCUCCCAUCACGAGCAGUUACUGGAGCUCCUUUGCUGGAACAUACCUCACGAAGCUAGAACCUUUGGAAGUAUCAAAUGCAUGAUUCAGCUCAUUGCUCUCGGAACAUCAUAUCAUGAAAAACCAAGGCAUACUGCAAACAAGAUUCUAGCAAAGGUUGUAUUAACACCAGGUCAGUUACACAACUUCGUAUUAGCGGUGCGAGAAUUUGGAAUAAUUCCUUUGGCGGUUGUGGACUUUGACGUGAUCAAAUUCCUGGACCGCAUUGUCACAGAAGCACCAGUGGGCUUCCUUCCUCGUGAAGCAGUUUCCAAGCAAGCAUCCGAGUAUCUAAUCAAAUCCAUUAUUGACGGAAGCGACGACGAGAUCAAAGCCGAAGCGGCCUGGACAUUCUUAGAGUGGUGGAGCAGUCCGAGUGUUUACCGGAGCUAUGCUUUUGAUCCUGCAGAUAUCUUUCACAGGAUUUUCAUUCAUAGGCAGUGGUCAAUAUCUAAAAGACAAGUAAGCCAUUCCGAGCUCGAAACAGGUUCGGGAUAUGAAUCAGUUACUGGUCCGUUUAUAACAGUCUUGAGUAAGAAACAUCAGAGGUCAGGUAUCAUGAACAAGUUUUUGAGUAGGGUGGACUUCAGUAAACUCAAGAACAAGCGAAGCACUAUCAACCUGUCUGGCAUUGUCACUGAGGUUAUUGGUGCCAAGUCAGAGCUAGACGAUAUUGUAGUUGGGCUGGUGGCUGCUUGGAUAUGGUUCAUGGAUGAAUCCACUUUCCACAAGGCAAUGUCCAACUUGAGUGAAGCGGAGCUGGGCAUGCUCAAGAGGAGUCCUCGUAUUUAUGAGGCUAUACUGUUAUCUGAGAAGGGAGAAUGGUUUCACAACAGACACACACUAUCUUUAGAAGGUAAGGGAGUUUAUAUAGCUGGUCUCUAGCCAGUAACCACCAUUUUCUAACACGAAGUUCUUGUAAUUCACAAAUACAAUACGUACUGUACACAGGCAUUGGUACCACAUCUGGAGAUCGACGUCACAGCCAAGAACACUGAGUAUCAAGCUUGCUCCUUCAGUCAGUCGUCAGUAUGGACAUGGGAGGAACGUAGCCUCUGCCGGUCAUCUCCAGGUAAUAAAAGUGAGCUCUGUCCAUCCUGUUUGCUGUGAUCAUCCCAUUGAGCAGUGCGUUGUAGGUGACGCGAUCGGGCCUCCACCAGCGAGUCAUCUCCUGGUACACGGGUUCACCUUGCCCGACUUGAUGAGAGCGCUGAUGAUCGAGUUGUAGGCGUAAGGGUGCGGCAUUCCUUCCUUCCUGAUGGCGUUGAAAAGCGACACGGCCUCGUCGACCCGGUUCGCUUUGCAGAGAUGGAAGAUCAGCCUGGUCCGCGUCUGGCUGUUUGCAACACCGCUCCUCUCCAUCUCGUCAAAGAGCAUGCAGCCACCUUCGAGCUUCCCCGACUUGCAGAGCCCGUCCACCAAGCUGCUGUAGACGAAGCUGUCCGGAGGUCAGCCUCUCUCCUUCAUGUGCUGGAAGUAUAGCGAGGCCUUGGUCAGCUGGCGGCGCUUGCAGAGGCCGGAGAUGAGAGCCCCGUAGGUGACAACGUUUGCGGAGCACCGGCUGGAGCUCAUGUCGUCGAAGACUCCACAGGCAGCGUCGGUGUUCCCGGCCUUGCAGAACCCCGAGAUGAGAAUGUUGUACGUGUAGACGUCGGGCUUGCAUCCGGCCUCGAGCAUCUCGUCGAAGAAGGCCCGUGCUGCCUCAACGUCGCCACUCUUGCAAAGCCCGUCGAUGAGGAUGUUGUAAGUGAUGGUGUCCGGGGUGCAAAACGCCUUCUUCAUCUGGGCCAGCAUCUCCAGCGCACAGUCCAUCUUCCUGGCCUUGCACAGGCCGUGGAUGAGAGCGCUGUACACCACCUCGUUUGGAGCCAGGCCUCGAGCUUCCAUCGACUUGAAGAUCCGGACUGCCGCUCCAAUCCUCCCGGCCUUGGAGAGGCCGUCGAUCAUGGUGCUGAGAGUUACCACGUCGGGAACGCAGCCGUGGGACGUCAUCGUCUUGUAGACCGAGGAAGCUUGCGGGAUUUUCCCGGUCUGGAGGAGUUCCCGGAUGAGAGCAGUGUAGCAGACGGUGUCGAGAGCCAGUCCCCGCAAAGCCAUCUCCUUGAAAAGCUUGUAAGCUUCGAAGGAUCGCUUCUCCUUGCCGAGGCCAUCGAUGAGCGAGGUGUAAGUGACCACGUCCGGCGUGCAGCCAUUGUCGACGAUCUUGCGAAGGAGAUCAAUGGCUUCUUCGAGGCGUCCCAUCUUGCAAAGACCAUUGAGGAGAGCGUUGUAGGUGGCGAUGGUGGGAGUACACCCAUUGGCAGUGAUCUUCUCCAUCAGAGCCACGGCCUCUUCGAUCUUCUUGUUCUUGGCGAGCCAGUCCACAAUGGCGGUGUAGGUGUGGAUGUCGAUCGUGCAGCCAUUGAUUGUGGUCUCCUGGGCGAGGGAGUGAGCUUGGAUCAUCAUACCUGCCUUGACGAGGCCAUUGAUGAGGAUCGAGAAUGUCGCAGCGGUCACCGGCAUGGAUCUCCUCACCAUCUCGAAGUGAUCCAUCGCCGCGAGGACCUGGCCCGACUUGCACAGGCCGUGGAGGACGAGAUUGUGGGUCUUGAGCGACGGCGCCACGCCGUAAUCCUCCUCCAUCUCCCUAAUAACCGCGAAUGCCUCCUCGGGCUCGCGAGCCAGGCAGUAGCCGGUGAUGAGGACGUUCCAGGUCUCCACAUCCGGCCGAAAUAUCGUCGCGAGCUCGUUCUUGAGGAGAUUCCCGCCCUCCCUGUGGCGCUUGGUCCUGGCAAACACAUCCAGGCUGUGCUGGAAGCCGAAUCGAGGGGAGGAGAGGCACUGGAAGAGCUCCCAGGCGAGAUCGGCGUCCUUGAGGCACUGGAAGAUCUUCACCACGGCGUCAGUGGAGAUUUCCCGGCGUAGCCUGCCCAGCGCCGCCUCGAUCGAAUGACUGGAAGAGGAGGAGGAAGAGUGGAGCAUCUGCGCGAAAUCCCUGUAGCUCCAGACGCCCGCAUUGGAGCAAGCGGCAAGAUCGUCCGCCUCAUCCUCGGUGGAUUCCUGAGCUACCGGCUGCGUGGCGAUCGAUCUGGCGCGGCUGGGUACCUGGGCAAUGCGCGAUAGCCGGGCAAUGCGCGAGCAUCCAAAUCUUGCCGCCAUUCAUAAACCCUAACCCGUAGGGCUUUAGCGCAUCUUUUUUGAGUAACAUUCUUAUUCUCUUAGGGCUCAUGCGAUGGACGAGGACGACGAUGGAGGAGGUAUUGGAUCGCUGUUCCUGGACGAGAAGUAAGCUACUAGGAUUUAAUCGAUUCUAUCAUCCACUGCUAGCUACGUUGAGCAGCGCAUUUCCAUCGGCCAUCACGAGAUUCCUGUGCUCAGCCUACAAUGCUCUUCCAGUGAGUGUGUUCUUUCUCUCUCGGUUCCUCUCUUUCAAUGCGAUAGCUCGCAGCGGACUACGACCUCACUGGCCAGAUAAUCUGGCCUGGCACCGAGCUUCUCCUCAAUUACAUUGUGGAUCAUAGCCAAAGUUUUCAAGGAGCUUCGAUCAUUGAGCUGGGCUCUGGUGUUGGUAUAAAGUUCUUGGCAUGGUUUUCUCUUCUUUCUCUCUUUUUUUUUUUUUUCUAACACUUGUUUUUUUUUCAUGGUUUUUUUUCAUGGAGUGACUGGCCUUUUGUGUGGAAGGAUUGGCUGCCGCAAAGUCGUCAUGACUGAUCACAAUGACAUCGUUUUAAAGGCAGGAAUUUUCAUGCAUGGUUUCUUAAAACAAGUUUGGGGAUCGCUGCUAGAUCAUGCGGAAAAACGUGGCGCUUCAGCAGGACACGGCGUUGCUAUCGCGUGAGUUCUUUCUCACUGAUAUAUGAUAUAUGAGAGAUCUCGUUUGUUUGUUUGAUUUUUUCUUUUUUCCUCAUUGCAGGGAUUGCCUGUGAAAAGCUUGAGUGGGGGAAUGAAGAACAGCUCUCUCUCAUCCUUGACAAGCAUCCGGAGGGAUUUGACUACAUCCUUGGGGCCGACAUUUAUAUCCCUUUGAUGGAAGCUUUUUUACUCCAAGUUUCUCCUUGAACAGAUCCUAUCACGCUACCAGCAAUGCAACAUUCCUCCGCUAAUCAGGACUGUCAACAAACUUUUGCAACACCACCACUGCCGCAAGUUUCUUCUUGCUUACGUCUCUCGCAUACAGAGGUUAUUUUGCUUCUUUUUUUGUGUUUUCUUGAAUCUUUUGUUUCUUUUUUUCAGCACUGAUCGAGCAUUCUUUAACGAGGCAUCUGAGCACAACCUGGAGUUGCGCGAGGUGGAAGUGUCGAGAACCAGCCCAGGUGAUGGCAUUUACAGCGGUGUGAUUUACGAAAUCAUUCUCAAGCGAGAUUGUCACAAUUGUCGUACCUUUACUGCUCCAAACAUUUGAGAACUCGAAGAGCUACUCAAUGGUUUCAAACUCCUCUGGAAACGUUAGCAGUCAACCAGAGAAGAUGGUAUGCCAUAAAGGCUUGGAAAC